This is a long non-coding RNA of Papaver somniferum (opium poppy), 848 nucleotides long. RefSeq lists it as uncharacterized. NCBI's taxonomy places the organism in Eukaryota, Viridiplantae, Streptophyta, Magnoliopsida, Ranunculales, Papaveraceae. The record is from RefSeq and is a predicted model, not a curated record. The transcript has 3 exons.
CUUGUAUUGCCUUAAUUCAAAAGGCAAGCCCUAAAUCAAAAGUCUUCUUAUAGUUCCUUCUACUGCUACAUUUCCUAAACCAAAACGGGAGUGAAGAACUGCAUCUCAACGGCUCAAGAUCCAAAACCAUAAGGUUUAAGAUCGUAAUGAUGAUGUUGUUAAUUAGUGAAUUGAUUCUGAGUAUGAAGAAGAAGAAAAGAGUUUUUGAUAAUUUGUCGUUUGGUUUGUGCGGCCUCGGAAAUUUAUCACUAAAGGGUAUUCUACAUCAAGCUGCCAUGGUAGCUCUAAGUUUUGAAUUCAGAUCUGUUUGUAUUGUGGUUUCAGGGAGUGGAGAACAUGACAUUGCAUUUAUAAUGGAAACAGCUUGAUUUUUAUUCCCGGAUAAUGUAAAAGACUUAGGAUGGGUGAUAGAUACCACAUGAUCAACUCAAUUUAAAUCACAGAUAAACAUGAGGACUUGAAAAAUGGAUGAAAGACACAUCAUGAUGGCAGUAGCUGCCCUUAAAGCAUUUGCAGCUGCUAUUACGGUACCAGUGGACAAUGUUAAUGAUAAAAAUAGGUAAUCCAAUUCUUUUUCUGAAGAAUCUGAACAAUGGAAUGAAAGACAUAGAUGUCAUGCAAAAGUAGGAAAUGAGCACAAGUGUUUAGUGAAACACCCACAGAUCAUGCUUGAUUUUUGAAGUUAGUAGCUUAAAUGUAGCUUAAACAUUUUCUGUACCAAAUCAUAGUUGUGUACAUUAUAAGAAAGAAAUCCAGUUCUUGUAAUCUCACAGAAUUUAAUCAUGCUGCUUACUGAAGUCAUUCAUGAUUCUGAUUGUAAACACUACAAGAACAGAUUUGGAAUCUAC